UACGUAGGUGGCAAGCGUUGUCCGGAUUUAUUGGGCGUAAAGGUGGUGCAGGCGGUGACUUAAGUCUGAUGUGAAAGCCCACGGCUCAACCGUGGAAGGUCAUUGGAAACUGGGUCACUUGAAUAUAGAAGAGGAAAGUGGAAUUCCAUGUGUAGCGGUGAAAUGCGUAGAUAUAUGGAGGAACACCAGUGGCGAAGGCGACUUUCUGGUCUAUAACUGACACUGAGGCGCGAAAGCGUGGGGAGGCAAACAGGAUUAGAUACCCU
RNAcentral lists this ribosomal RNA (266 nucleotides) under uncultured prokaryote. RNAcentral's name for it is "partial 16S ribosomal RNA". It matches the Rfam family "Bacterial small subunit ribosomal RNA", at positions 524 to 788 of the family's 1533-position model. The record is from RNAcentral.